This is a non-coding RNA of Acanthosepion pharaonis, 113 nucleotides long. NCBI's taxonomy places the organism in Eukaryota, Metazoa, Mollusca, Cephalopoda, Sepiida, Sepiidae. The record is from the annotation of a GenBank genome assembly.
UUACGUCCAUAUCGCGUUGAAACACCGGUUCAUAUUCGAUCAUCGAAGUUAAGCAACGUCAGACCUUGUCAGUACCUAGAUGGGUGACCGCUUAAGAAUAUCAGGUGCUGUAA